Molecule: ribosomal RNA, 445 nt
Filed under: uncultured bacterium
Lineage: Bacteria
Description: bacterial SSU rRNA
Rfam family: Bacterial small subunit ribosomal RNA
Source: RNAcentral
GGCAGCACGGACUUCGGUCUGGUGGCGAGUGGCGAACGGGUGAGUAAUGUAUCGGAACGUACCUUUCAGUGGGGGAUAACGUAGCGAAAGUUACGCUAAUACCGCAUAUUCUGUGAGCAGGAAAGCAGGGGAUCGCAAGACCUUGCGCUGAUUGAGCGGCCGAUAUCAGAUUAGCUAGUUGGUGGGGUAAAGGCCUACCAAGGCUACGAUCUGUAGCGGGUCUGAGAGGAUGAUCCGCCACACUGGAACUGAGACACGGUCCAGACUCCUACGGGAGGCAGCAGUGGGGAAUUUUGGACAAUGGGGGCAACCCUGAUCCAGCCAUGCCGCGUGAGUGAAGAAGGCCUUCGGGUUGUAAAGCUCUUUCGGCCGGGAAGAAAUCGCAUAGGCUAAUACCCUGUGUGGAUGACGGUACCGGAAUAAGAAGCACCGGCUAACUACGUGC